CCCCCCCCNNNNUUUAGAGUUUGCUCCNCNCUCAGGACGAACGCUGGCGGCGUGCCUNAUACAUGCAAGUCGAACGCACUCUCGUUUAGAUUGAAGGAGCUUGCUCCUGAUUGAUAAACAUUUGANUGAGUGGCGGACGGGUGAGUAACACGUGGGUAACCUGCCCUAAAGUGGGGGAUAACAUUUGGAAACAGNUGCUAAUACCGCAUAAAACCUAACACCGCAUGGUGUAGGGUUGAAAGAUGGUUUCGGCUAUCACUUUAGGAUGGACCCGCGGUGCAUUAGUUAGUUGGUGAGGUAAAGGCUCACCAAGACCGUGAUGCAUAGCCGACCUGAGAGGGUAAUCGGCCACACUGGGACUGAGACACGGCCCAGACNUCCUACGGGAGGCAGCAGUAGGGAAUCUUCCACAAUGGACGAAAGUCUGAUGGAGCAACGCCGCGUGAGUGAAGAAGGUUUUCGGAUCGUAAAACUCUGUUGUUGGAGAAGAAUGUAUCUGAUUUUAACUGAUCCNGUAGNUACNACUCCCNCNCGGG
This 536-nucleotide ribosomal RNA is filed under the name Latilactobacillus sakei. Its description in RNAcentral is "Lactobacillus sakei partial 16S ribosomal RNA". It matches the Rfam family "Bacterial small subunit ribosomal RNA", at positions 1 to 507 of the family's 1533-position model. Lineage: Bacteria; Bacillati; Bacillota; Bacilli; Lactobacillales; Lactobacillaceae. The record is from RNAcentral.